Long non-coding RNA from Aedes aegypti (yellow fever mosquito), 982 nucleotides. RefSeq lists it as uncharacterized. The record is from RefSeq and is a predicted model, not a curated record. The transcript is spliced from 2 exons. Lineage: Eukaryota; Metazoa; Arthropoda; Insecta; Diptera; Culicidae.
AAUCAUUCCACUUAGGUGUCAAGAUGGAUAAAAAAGACCUAAUUUUGGGUUGUUUCGGUUCUCCGUGUAGAAGAGAAGUGAAAAACAGAAAGGGCUAUACAUGUUAUAACAGUUAUAGGACGUGAAGCUAGCCGCCUACAGUUAUGUUUCGAUUUUCUGUCUCUAUCGGUUUAUGUUUCAUGUUGCGUAGAAUUGUCUUUGUGUAGAAGGUAGAACGUAGAGAGGUGAAAUUAAAUUUGUGUUUAGUUUAUGUUCAGUCUUCGUAGUAAACGGUUCUGAUGAAAUUGAUGUAGUGUUUCUAUGGAAUAAAGUUAAUGCUAAGGCUAGAAGGAAGAAAAUAAAACUGUGUUCUGUGUAAGAGUGACCGAUUGUUUCGCUGAAUUCGAAACUGGAGGAAAUACCGAAGUAUCCCUGCUAGCUGCUAUCGCACCGCCGUCGUGAUUAUCGCCAUCGCAAUCGUCACUUGCAAAGGGUGAAAAACUGGAAGGAAGGAUAACAGCCAUCCGAUCAGCUGUUGACAACAUCGUUCUCAGCAAGUGACACCGUAGGAAUUUCUGGGACGGAACGCAAUAGGUAAGGUCACAACAUUUGGUGCCGUGACCAGGAUUGCGCUCCAAGGAAGCGACGGCACGUUAGCUACUCCAUUUUAUGGUUCGAGGACAAAAGGAUAUCUACAUAAUACGGAAUUCAGGAACACAAUUGAGCUCGCCAUUUGCAUCACAAUCAAUCGCCACAGUCUUAUUGGAAAAGCCCAUCUUUACUCGUUCAAUGGUUCAGCAAGACGCCAUAGCUACGUGAUCCUGGAGAAACCAGUAGAUAUUGAAAAUGAAUUGCCUGUUUGACAGGCUCACAAGACUGGAUAACGGAAGGAAAGGCUUUCGUCCGUUGGAUAACUAUCUGAAGGCAUUGGCUCUGCUGGUCAUCAACGCAGCAACAUUCAGGACCAACGACACGAUAAAGGGAACAAUAAAGGAUGAAAUCA